ACCAAAUAGAUACCCAGGUAGUCCACGCCCUAAACCGAUGCGAACUGGAUGUUGGGUACAUUACGGUACUCAGUGUCGAAAGCUAAACGCGUUAAGUUCGCCGCCUGGGGAGUACGGUCGCAAGACUGAAACUCAAAGGAAUUGACGGGGGCCCGGCACAAGCGGUGGAGUAUGUGGUUUAAUUCGAUGCAACGCGAAGAACCUUACCUGGCCUUGACAUCUGUCGAAUCCUGCAGAGAUGCGGGAGUGCCGCAAGGAACGACAAGACAGGUGCUGCAUGGCUGUCGUCAGCUCGUGUCGUGAGAUGUUGGGUUAAGUCCCGCAACGAGCGCAACCCUUGUCCCUAGUUGCCAGCACGUAAUGGUGGGAACUCUAGGGAGACUGCCGGUGACAAA
This 395-nucleotide ribosomal RNA is filed under the name uncultured bacterium. Its description in RNAcentral is "bacterial SSU rRNA". It matches the Rfam family "Bacterial small subunit ribosomal RNA", at positions 768 to 1162 of the family's 1533-position model. The record is from RNAcentral.